AGAUGUUAAAAGCAAGAGACAUGGGAGAGCAUCGUUCCUUUGAGAUUUUAUAACUCAAACCAACUUUGGAGUUGUCUGAUUUGGAGAGUCAUUAUUCUUGGUCUUCGCUCUUAGAGGCCACUGAUGAAGAGCAGGCGGUGACUGGGAUGAAUCCUGGUCAGAGAGGAGAAUCUUCUUUCCCCUAAACUGAUGCAGAGGUGGUUUUAAAGGAGGACGCUGCCCUGUAUGAUGUAGAUGUCGUCACAUGCUGUGCUGAUGGGGUUUCUUCAUGAUUACAUCAGUUAUGCUAAAGAGAUCAUGAAAAUUGACCGUGAUGCAUGAUCUAUAUUCAUGGACUAUGAAACAAACUGUAAGUGUAUAAUUUGUUAAAAAAAAAAAAAAAGUUAAAUGCUUUUUCUGUGUUGUUUAGUAGAAGAGUUUACACUCUGUCAUUCAUACACCUGCUCACAUUCUUUCACACACACACACACACACACACACACACACACAUGCGUCUGUUAAAUGUUAUAAUAUCAAAGUUAAUGUGAUUUAUUUGUGUACUGUCAUGCCAGAAUAGUUGGAAAAAAACCUAACUAAUUGUAAAUUUAUUGUAUGUGUUUUCGUAUAUUUUUAUACAAUAUAUACAAAUGAACAAAGUCCAAUUUGAUCUUAAGUUAUAUUCAUCAAAUGUUCAAUGCUUUGUUUAUGAACUCUGUAGCUGUUAAUGCCAUCCUUUUCUGCAUUUCUUCUAACAUGUUACUUUUUGACUUUUCUCUUGUUUUUAAUAAAUAUUUUCCUUUUGGUAAUUAUUAUUUGUGUGUAAAAGUGAUAUUUAAAAUGAAUAACAUUUGUAGGUUUAAUGCCUAGCUCAAUUUGGGUUAAUUUUAACGUAGAAAUGCAUUGUUUCCCCACAUGGCUGCACUCUGCGAGUUUAUUUUCUGCCAGCAGGAGGCGCUAAGAGCGGGAGAGGUAGGUUUCUCCGGUAACGGCUGCAGAGCGGUGCUGAGCUCACAAACGCUGCCUUAUCAAGCACAUGCGAAAUGAUAUCGAACA
Carassius gibelio (silver crucian carp) is the source of this 1032-nucleotide long non-coding RNA. RefSeq lists it as uncharacterized. The transcript is spliced from 3 exons. The record is from RefSeq and is a predicted model, not a curated record. NCBI's taxonomy places the organism in Eukaryota, Metazoa, Chordata, Actinopteri, Cypriniformes, Cyprinidae.